Molecule: ribosomal RNA, 252 nt
Filed under: uncultured bacterium
Lineage: Bacteria
Description: partial 16S ribosomal RNA
Rfam family: Bacterial small subunit ribosomal RNA
Source: RNAcentral
UACGUAGGGUGCAAGCGUUGUCCGGAAUUAUUGGGCGUAAAGAGCUCGUAGGCGGUCUGUCGCGUCUGCUGUGAAACCGCGGCUUAACUGCGGGACUGCAGUCGAUACGGGCAGGCUAGAGUUCGGUAGGGGAGACUGGAAUUCCUGGUGUAGCGGUGAAAUGCGCAGAUAUCAGGAGGAACACCGGUGGCGAAGGCGGGUCUCUGGGCCGAUACUGACGCUGAGGAGCGAAAGCGUGGGGAGCGAACAGGA